UCCCUGAUGGUCCAGUGGUUAAGACUCUGCAGUACCAAGGCAGGGGUCCUGGGUUCAAUCCCUGGUCAGGGAA
Non-coding RNA from Odocoileus virginianus texanus, 73 nucleotides. The record is from the annotation of a RefSeq genome assembly. Lineage: Eukaryota; Metazoa; Chordata; Mammalia; Artiodactyla; Cervidae.